This 65-nucleotide transfer RNA is filed under the name Cucujoidea sp. 16 KM-2017. RNAcentral's name for it is "tRNA-Gly". The record is from RNAcentral. Lineage: Eukaryota; Metazoa; Arthropoda; Insecta; Coleoptera.
AUUUAUAUAAUAUAAAAAUUAUAUUUGAUUUCCAAUCAGAAAAUCUAGUAAUUCUAGUAUAAAUA